RNA transcript from Musa acuminata AAA Group (dessert banana), 5330 nucleotides. It is a transcript of the gene named maturase K-like, with no coding region annotated. NCBI's taxonomy places the organism in Eukaryota, Viridiplantae, Streptophyta, Magnoliopsida, Zingiberales, Musaceae. The transcript has a single exon. The record is from RefSeq and is a predicted model, not a curated record.
UAUUUUUUUGGGGGGGGGGAUUGACGAAUAACUAAUUCUAAUAAUAGUCUUGACUAGUGCCAAACAGGAAAAAUGGGGCGUGGCCAAGCGGUAAGGCAGCGGGUUUUGGUCCCGUUAUUCGGAGGUUCGAAUCCUUCCGUCCCAGAUCGUUUCCAUCAGAAACAAAAGAUGGGAUCACAUUGUAUCCCACAUAAAACGGAAAAAUCUUAAAGAGAACAACCUUUUCUUUUGUUCUGAAUUCUUAGAAUGUCUUUUGUUCUGAAUUCUUAGAAUGAAUUCUUAGAAUGGAUUCUUAGAAUCCAUUUGAUUUAUCACAAGCAUAAUAAAGUGUCAAAUACAGGUGGAAGUUUUUUUGAAUAAAAAAAAGAGAAAUUUGGGGUCUAUCAUUCACAUUCAUAAUAUGCUCGUACUAUUGUUAUAUUCAUUAUGUCCCAUAUUCAUGAAAUAUGAAUUCUAAAUAUGAAUUAUAAUUCUCACAUGAUGCAUUCCGAAUUGAAGCGUGAAACAAAAGCAUCUCUAUUCCCUUCCACACAAAGCCUAAAGUCAAAAAUAGGGUAUCCCAAUUUCACAUUCUAUGUGAAGACUAAAGAGUAGGGAGUUUGUCGUACUAAUUUCAUCACUGGUUUUAAAACUUCUAAAGCUGUGCUGUGGCGUGGGAAAAAAUAGGAUAAAAAUUGUCUGAAUUCCAUUUCUUUCUAUCUUAUAUCUUAGAUGCCUCAAAUGAAAAUAAUUGUAAAUCAAUGUAACGUAGCGAUUGGGGGGAAAUUUUGAUAUUCCAUAUAUUUUAACUUGAUUUUAUGGAAUUGAUGGAAAAAUUGUUGAACCUGAAGUAAAACAAAAUCUAUAUAAACUAAAAUAAACAAGGCCUACGCUAUGCCUAUAUGUAUGAUAUAUAUUGUGUAUUGUUAUUAUAUUGUUGUAUUUCAAUAACAAUGUUGUUGUAUUUCAAUAACAAUGUUGUUGUAUUUCAAUAACAAUGGCCUUUCACUUAAGUGAAAAGAAUUUGUGGAAGGGGAUCUUUGAUUUUAAAAAUAUCCAUGAUUACCCCCAGUAACAAUAUUCAGAUUCUUUCUUUCAGAUGAAAGAAAGAAUAAGGAUCUUAAUGUUGCCGUACAUGAGACCUUUUCUAUUUCAUACUCAUGAAAAUAGAUAAACUAGAUUAUCAAUUUACUUCUUUGGUUAAAAGAAAACCAAUUGAUAAUUCAAUUGAACAUGGUAAAAUUUAUGUCUCCUUAGGGAAUGAAAUAUCUGCUAAAAAUUUUUAGCUACUCAUUGUGAUUGCGUCGACUUGGUGAUUGAAUUAGAGAUCCAGUUUAGUCAUGACUAGAAAACAUAGUUCCAGUCAUGAUGUUGAAGUCGGAGAUUUUUAAAACAUUUUUUUAUGAACUCUUGGUUGGUACUCGAAGAAAUAUGAUAAAUCAAUAGUAUCUAGAAACUUACGACCUUUUUGUUUUUUGGUCAUUGGAACAGUUUAUUUGACUAAUAAUUUAUUUUUUUCCGGGAUUGGAAAUAUAUUAAAUUAAAGGAUUUGAGGUUUAUAGUUUUUUUGUUCUAGAAAAAUAGAUUCUGCAUUUCAUGAUUGAUCGUCCCGAACAAUCUGUUGGAGAUGUAAAGUAAAUAAGUCUUAAGCAAACAUCUUUCUUAGAAAUACGUUUCAUUCAUAUGAUAGAAUAUCGAGUUAAAGAAAUUGGAUCCUUGCUGAGCUUUCUCCGGAUAAAUACAAUACUUAUCUAUCCAUAGAAUACUUAUCUAUCCAUAGGUAUAAAGUAUAGACUAUUAUAUAGUUCCCGUUGUUCCCAUCGAGCCAAUGACUAUUCAUGAUUACAUAUUAAAUCAAUUCCAUUGCGGUUUGAAAUUAAAUUGAAUUCUAAAUUAGAGGAAUGUUAUGGUAAAACUUCGUUUGAAACGAUGUGGUAGAAAGCAACGUGCGACUUGAAGGACAUGAUCCGCUGUGGAUUUUUACAUCCACCAUUUUCUAUACAAAUGAAGAUGCUCUUGGCUCGACAUAGUUUGUUCUGUUCCAUUAGGAAUCUAAUUUUUCUUAGGUUGAUAGUACAUGAUGGAGCUCGAGCGGAAAGGAUUGAUUCAUUUAUCAAGGGGAAGAAUCUAGGGUUAGUGCCAAUCAAUCAAUAAGUUAGACCAGCUUUGUAAGUAUAUCCUUAAAAUAUAAAAUAAUCGGAAUUGAUAAAACUAUUUCGAUCAAAAAAAAGUGUAUCACAGAGGAAUCAAUUCUUCGUAUUCUAUUUCUAUGGGUAUUCUAUUUCUAUAGAAAGAAAUAAAAAAAACAAAAGGUAUGUUGCUGCCCUUUUGAAAGGAGUAAGGAUCACCGAAGUAAUGUCUAAACCCAAUGAUUUUACAAAGCAAAGAUAAAGGAUUCCGAAACAAGGAAACACUAUUUUCAAUUGUCUCAAAAAUUGGAUCAGAAUUAGGAAUAAAAAUAGAUUCGAGAUGAGACAAACAAAAGAGGUUAGAGACGGCUCAAGAAAUGUCUAAGGAUUUCCCUUCGAAUUCUGUCAGAAUUACCCAACUUGAGUUAUGAGUACGAAUGAAAUUUAUUUUUUUUUUUUUUUUUAGGAAGAACAAAAUAAUAAUAAUGAAUUAGACUAUGAUUUGAGUCAUUAUUUUGUGUUUACUAUUUGAUAUUAUAUACAGAAAGAUAUACCGAAAUAAAAAUAAUUUUUUCUCGAGCUCGAGCCGUAUGAGGAGAAAAACCUCCUAUACGUUUCUGGGGGGGGAUUGUUUAUGUACAUCUAUCCCAAUGAGCCAUCUAUCGAAUCGUUGCAAUUGAUGUUCGAUCCCGAAGAGAAGGAAGAGAUUUUCGAAAAGUGGGUUUUUAUGAUCCGAUAAAGAAUCAAACUUAUUUAAACGUUCCCGCUAUUCUAUAUUUCCUUGAAAAGGGCGCUCAACCUACAGGAACUGUUUAUGAUAUUUUAAGUAAGGCAGAAUUUUUUAAAGAAAAAACCUCGAGUUAAUUAAAAGAAAAAACAACAAAAUUAAUAAAAAAGGGGGGAGAUGAUUAAUAUAAAAUCUAUCUUUGUAUAAUUUUUUACUUACAAUUUUUUACCUAAAAUUUUCCCUUUUCUUGCUCUAUUCAUACUUAAAUUUACUUUUUUCUUGUUAUAGGAAUCCACCAACAAACAAGGGAUUAAUCUUGCUUAUUGUACCUCUAUUGAUUGAGUAAACCCGAGAUUUUUUCUUUAUCUUUUCCUUAUUUUUUUCCAUCAAAAUUUCUUAUUUAUGUUGUGCCAACCCAAUACAAAUCCUUAUUUUAUUUACUUUAUUUGUUAUUUGUUUUCUCAACAUUGCAUUCAUAUUGACAAUGGUGUAUCGAACAAAUAUAAUUGAUCAUAGAUAAAUUAAUUGAUCAUAGAUAAAUAAAUCUCUUUAUCCAGACCCCAUAUUGGGUUUUAACUUCACUUUUACUCAAAUAAUGGGUUUUGCAUUGUUGGGUUUACUGUCAUAUAAGACGUAUUUUGGAAUUUAACUUAACAAAAAUAAAAAAUUGAUAAAAAACUGGUAGGUCUGUCACAAUUUUAGCAUCUCUUUUAGGAAUCUGGUGUUUUUAAAUAUGAUCUGUACAUUUUCUAUUUAUUUUGUAUAAUCGAUCAUAAAACAUAAAAUAUUUUUUUAUUUAUUAUUAGUUCAAUGUUUUGAUGGGGUCGUGCAGUGCAAUUUAAUGGAUUUUUCAUUUUUAUCGUAUCUACAUAUCCUAUUUAUUUUAUUUUAUUCGGGUUGCUAACUCAACGGUAGAGUACUCGGCUUUUAAGUGCGACUAUGAUCUUUUACACAUUUUGAUGAAGCAACAAAUUCGUCCAGACUAUUGGUAGAGUCUAUAAGACCACGACUGAUCCUCAAGGGUAAUGAAUGGAAAAAGUAGCAUGUCGUAAUAAAAAAAAUUUCUUAUUUUAUUAAAUAUUUUAUUAAAAAAUUACAAAUUCAAAUGAAAGUGGAACUUUUAGUUUAUCCUUACUGGAUCGCUACAAAAAUAAAAAAUUUUUGGAAGGGAAGGGGACAAAACAAAUUCACAUUUACAGUUGGGUCUAGUGAAUAAAUGGAUAGAGCCUAUGGUUCCAAUUUUGGUAAAACAAAAAGCAACGAGCUUAUGUUCUUAAUUUGAAUUGAACGAUUACCCGAUCUAAUUAGACGUUAAAAAUAGAUUAGUGCCUUAUACGGGAAAGGGUGAGUUCUCCUGUGGGUGGACCAUUGAUUCUUUUUCCUUUUUUUUUAAUAAAUCCUAACUAUUCUUUAUUAUGGAUUAGAAACGGAUGUGUAGAAGAAACAGUAUACUGAUAAAGAGAAUAAAUUCCAAAGUCAAAAGAGCGAUCGGGUUGCAAAAAUAAAGGGUUUGUUAUCCUCUUGUAAUUAUAACGAAGAUAAACAACGAAGAUAAACCAAUUCGAUAGAAAAAGAGAAUAAAAAGAUCUAUUGAUUGGACUCCCUGUUUCCUUUUCGGGGUAUAUUUUUAUUACUAUUGUAUUCUAUAUACAUAAUAGAAUACAAAAUACCCUGUUUUGACCAUAUUGCACUAUGUAUCAUUUGAUAACCCAAUAAAUGCCUCCUACCCCUGCUUCAAGUGGAAAUGUAAAUGGAAGAAUUACAAGGAUAUUUAGAAAAAGAUAGAUCUCGGCAACAAUACUUUCUAUAUCCACUUCUUUUUCAGGAGUAUAUUUACGUAUUUGCUUAUGAUCAGGGUUUAAAUAGUUCAAUUUUUUAUGAACCCGUGAAUUUUGGGGGUUAUGGCAAUAAAUUUAGUUCAGUACUUGUGAAACGUUUAAUUAUUCGAAUGUAUCAACAAAAUUAUUUGAUUUAUUCGGUUAAUGAUUCUUACCAAAAUCGAUUCGUUGGGCACAACAAUUAUUUUUAUUCCCAUUUUUUUUCUCAGAUGAUAUCAGAAGGUUUUGCAGUCAUUGUGGAAAUUCCAUUCUCGCUGCAAUUAGUAUCUUCCCUUGAAGAAAAAAAAAUACCAAAAUCUCAUAAUUUACAAUCUAUUCAUUCAAUAUUUCCUUUUUUAGAGGAUAAAUUAUCGCAUUUAAAUUAUCUGUCAGAUAUACUAAUACCUCAUCCCAUCCAUAUGGAAAUCCUGGUCCAAAUCCUUCAAUCCUGUAUCCAGGAUGUUCCCUCUUUGCAUUUAUUGCGGUUCUUUCUCUACGAAUAUUAUAAUUGGAAUAGUCUCAUUACUCCGAAGAAAUCUAUUUAUGUUUUUUCAAAAGAAAAUAAAAGACUAUUUUGGUUCUUAUAUAAUUCUUAUGUAUCUGAAUGUGAAUUUGUAUUAGUUUUUCUUCGUAAACAAUCUUCUUAUUUACGAUUAACAUCUUUUGGAGCCUUUCUUG